GGGUGAAAAAAGGAAAUUUUUAUUAUAGGUUAGAUCGAACCAAUUUGAAUAAUUUUGGUAGUGAAGCAAGCCCAAAAUUAGUUAGGUGUCAAAUCGACAAGUGAAUUGUUUGAAAAGCAAGAAAAUUGAUACAGCAUAAAAAAAACUCAUUUUGGAGGCAGAAAAAAAAAUUCUUUGUUUGCACAUGGCACUUGUUAGGAAAAAGUCCAUUUUACUCCCUUCACUAAUCCACUUUAUCUGCUUAACCCCUAAACAAAAUUUAGGCUUACUUUACUCCCCCGAACUAUUUCAAUUAGUCCAAUCUGC
Molecule: long non-coding RNA, 306 nt
Filed under: Setaria viridis
Lineage: Eukaryota; Viridiplantae; Streptophyta; Magnoliopsida; Poales; Poaceae
Description: long non-coding RNA (SVIR_LNC011168)
Source: RNAcentral